AUUGAACGCUGGCGGCAUGCUUUACACAUGCAAGUCGAACGGUAACAGGCCGCAAGGUGCUGACGAGUGGCGAACGGGUGAGUAAUGCAUCGGAACGUGCCCAGUCGUGGGGGAUAACUACUCGAAAGAGUAGCUAAUACCGCAUACGAUCUAUGGAUGAAAGCGGGGGACCGUAAGGCCUCGCGCGAUUGGAGCGGCCGAUGUCAGAUUAGGUAGUUGGUGGGGUAAAGGCUCACCAAGCCAACGAUCUGUAGCUGGUCUGAGAGGACAACCAGCCACACUGGGACUGAGACACGGCCCAGGCUCCUACGGGAGGCAGCAGUGGGGAAUUUUGGACAAUGGGCGCAAGCCCGAUCCAGCAAUGCCGCGUGCAGGAAGAAGGCCUUCGGGUUGUAAACUGCUUUUGUACGGAACGAAACGGCUCUGGUUAAUACCCGGGGCUAAUGACGGUACCGGAAGAAUAAGCACCGGCUAACUACGUG
RNAcentral lists this ribosomal RNA (482 nucleotides) under uncultured bacterium. RNAcentral's name for it is "partial 16S ribosomal RNA". It matches the Rfam family "Bacterial small subunit ribosomal RNA", at positions 30 to 507 of the family's 1533-position model. The record is from RNAcentral.